CUAAAAGUUAUUAUUUCAUUGCCUGGGGAGGAGUUUAAUAAGAAUCACAUUUGUAAUGGAGAACCCCCUCAAAGCUUUUUUGUUGUUGCUCUGUUUCUGCUUUAUGUAACAACUGCUCAUCCAUCUUUUCCAGGUCUAGUCUGAAUAGGCUGAAGUAUCUUUCUUGUGCUCAGUGAACAUCAUAUGUUGUCAGCUCUGCUGUCAUACGUCAAAAACCUCAUCCCAAUACUGUGAUGGCUUGGAAACAGCUCCUGUCGUUGUGCCAGAUGUUUCACAGAACGUAAGCAGCUCAUGGGGCUUCAGUAAGAAAACGUACAGACACGUGCAAGAAGGGCUUUCCUUCCGCAUCCAGCAGAACAGCUAAGUUAAUCAAAUCCUUGUUGUAAUGGAUCCCACGUAAGGAAUAGCUAUUAUGAAGUACAUCAGGGUCAGCCUGAAACUGAAGAUGGUUUUCUGUGAACUGCAGACCUCCAAAACUAAGCACCAUGCCUUGCAUAAGCCCGUGGACUCCGGCUGCCACAAGAGCCUUACACCCCCGUUUCUGGAGGGUCAGCUUCCAAAGGUCUGAGAGCUGCAAGAUCUGGGGCACGCUGGUCAGCUUUGCUGGCCACAGGUUCUCUGCAUGCAUGGUCGCGUGGCCACUGAAGCAAUGGUCAGCAUAGUUCAAGCUGGCUUCCAUUUUUUCUCUGUCCUCACCGCUAAUGAGUGGAUCUAGCAGAGGAGCUGGCAUGCUUGAAAGCAUAUAGUAGAGGGUCAUGUUAACAGUCUCACUGGAUGGUGUAUGUGAAUCUGUGAUCUUCCUCAUUUCAAUCCCUGAAAUGAACAGGUCUGACCAGGUCUGCUGGUGCUCCUGGAAAAGAUCUUCCACCCCCAUCUGCAUCACCUCCAGCAUCUCUUUCUUGGCCGACUCCCUCAGCUUGCUGAAAGUCUCCUCCAGCCUGGAGACCUCGAUGGGCUCCGAAGUGUACACCACAGACAGCACGGUUUCAUCAAAGGUAGACUUGGGUGCCACCUGCACCCGGCUCACGAGCUUCUUAGCAGCCACCACCAUGAGCACCACUUUGGGGCUGCCGGGCAGCAGCAGACGGCCGGAGGAGAGCAGGAACUGCCGCUCCUCCACCUUCUCCAAGCUGGUAGCGAAGCGGGCGCCCAGCGAAGGUGCAGAAGCUGGGGCUGAAGCCUCGAAGGUGGCCACCCGCUCGGUGGGGUUGGCGAUGCGGAUGCGCUGAAGGUAGAGAUGUGGCCGACUCCGGUGAGCCACCACCUCCUCUCGCACCGUCACGCACUCCCCGGCGCCUCCGGGACCGGCGCCCGUCUGUACGCAGCGCACCCUCCGCACGGCCCCGUCCCGCAGCGCCGCCUGCGCCGCCCGCGCCUCUCCGCGCGCUCCCAGCGCCCUCAACCGCACCAGCGCCGGGUACUCGGUGGGCAGCGACGGGCCUCCGCCAGAUCCUGCCACCGACACCCAGAGGCGGCCGGCGGCUACGUCCAGCAGGAGGAAGCCGUUACCCGCCAGCGCCAGGCUCGGCCCCGGCCCCCGCCGGCCUCGUCCUCCGGCAGCGGCAGCGCAUCGCCGCGCUCGGCCUGAGCCCGCCAGGGGCCCGCGGCCGCCUGCAGACAGAGGGCGGCGGCGCCGCGGGGCUCCGCUCCCCUCCCCGCUCCGUGCCGCGCCCUCCCGGCCCCCAGGUACCAGUAGGCGACGAGCAGGAGGAGCAGCAGCAGCAGUAGCCGCCGCGCCCAGCUGCUGGACAGCAGUCCCGGCAGCCCCUUCAGCCGCUGCUGCAGCCACAUGGGCGGCGGCGGCGGGGCGGGAGACCCGUCCCGUCCCGGCCUCGGCGCCCCAGCGGCCGCUUCCCGACCCCUCACGCCGCCAUUGCCGCCGGCCGGAAGCGCCGCGCCGUACGGCGGCCCCGCCGCACUCGGCGGCGCUUGGCGGCGCUUUGCGACACUUUGCGACAGUUGCGGCGUCGCGCCUUCUCCUCAGCGCUCGGCGGGCGGCCCGGGAGGUGGCUUGGCGGGGUGCCCCGGCUCCGUUCAGCACAGGCGCCGUCUCUGUAGUGACUUCAGUGGUGAAAGCAGACCGGAGCGGGCCUGAGGGAGUUUUCCAUCAUAUUAGAGGUCAUUGAUUCCCGUUAGUACGACGGAGCCUGAUGCGGGACAGUGUGUUCCUGCCACGUUUUCACGCCGUACGGAGUGCAGGAGGGUGGGCGCAGUGCUGUGACCCGCAGGGAUCAUCGAGCCCAACUGUUCGAUUUGGGCUGUUGUGGAGCUUUACGAUAGCAAAUGCGGGACGGGUCUGAGCCAUCCCCGCUUCCUCCAGCAGCUGUAUGCCAACAAGGAACGUUUCCCAUCUGCUCCUGCAGAUGUGUGCACAAUGGGCCAAGGAAAACUUUGGACUCCAGCGCAGCUCUCAAAGACAGUAGCAAACCGUGCAGAAACCCUACGAGCUGAAAUGAAACUGAAAUGAAGUGUGAAAUUCCUGCCCAGCUCAGCGCAGGGAGCAGCUCAGCAAAGGAGAACAGAGCCUUUCCCAACUCCCUGCCAAUGAGAUGUUUGAUUUUUUUAGGUUAGGGAUUUGUUGGGUUUUUUUUGGGGGGGGGGAGGGGGUGAUGGGGAGUGGCACACUGUGCUCUGUAAAAGGAACAGGUGAGAUCUCAUCCCUCGCAUGUACAGAGGUUGGGUGUGUUGUGAGUCUGCCUUAGAAGCUGAGCUCUGCUCCCUUCGGCUGUUGGGAAGUUGCAGCUCUGCUCAGAGCACGUGUUGCACGUACUCACAGGAACAUCUGCACUGGCAGCUGCUUCUGUUUAAAAAGACAGGCACCGACUCCAGCUCGAGCACGCAGAGCAGUGCAAGCAUGGAAAGAAGAAAGAACUGUGCUUGCUGGGUUAGCGUGGCUGCAGAAUGCAAACAAAGCUGUCAAAUAGGGACAGAGGAUGGUGGUAUUAAUGAUGCAUUCACGACUCCUAGCCCACGAAACAGCUUUCAUUUUAGAAUGGAGAGAUUGAACAGCCUUACAGUGAGAAACUUAAUAUUCCUACAACUCCAUAGCCUGAAUUGCAGCACUUUGAGCUUUGAAGGUGAGAGCUGAACACCUCUGCUGUGGCUCCCACCUUAAAUUGUAGAGAAUGCUGAAGAUUUAUCAAGAUCUUUUUCAGGGCUGCCUAAGUACAGCCAAAAUCUAAAGUGAAAGUGAUUUGUUUUUAUUCAGUUGGUGAAACUGGCAGUACUGAAAAAUGAAGUUUCUUGAAAUCACCAUCUUAGGGAGAACUGAUAUUUCCUUGGGUUCAUCAUUGCAGUUCAUCAUUGGAGCUUCAGAACUGCUGUGUUUGCCUGGCAAUUAGGAGGGAAUUCCUACUGUGGGGAGAGGGAGUGGAAACAAGAGUGCUUGGAAAACAAUCAAGAGCAUUCCCAGUGAGCAAAUAAAUACAAACGGUUAUUCUUUGCGAGGAAGCAUGGAGAAUAACAGCUGCAGUGUGCCCCUUCUAACUGAGAGCCCAAAGGCUCUUACGCUUCUCUAUGUCUCUUUCCAGUGUGUAUUCCAUACCCCGAGUCCAGCUGAUGUGUAUUGCAUUUCCUUUUUUAUCUCAACCCGCCAUCUCAGCACACACCCAUCACUUUUUGUGCCUCUGCUGAACCCCGUGGUGCUGGUGCUUUCUCCCUGAUACUGUAACCUGCAUCCCAUGGAGCAGCCUCCAGUGUGGCUGAGGAGCCAGGGCAUCUUUCAGUGAUGGCUUCAACAAUAUACCACAACUUGUUGUUUUAAUGAUGAAAUAUUCUUGUUUGCACCUCCCAGUAAAGGAAGUAAGUGAUUUCGGGAUGUUUCAGCAGUGGAAGAGAAGAUGGCUUUAUUUAAAUACAGCUCUGUCAUCUCUGUUUGCUUCAGCAGAAAAAAUGUGUCACCCGAGGGCUCACAGCACAGCAGGGUUCCCCUGCACUGAGCCAUACAUUCACCGCAACAUAAAAAUGACCAUAAACCCAUUUCUUUUAAAGAAAAUUAUAACUUUAUAAGGUAGGUUCAUUUUGCCUACUCUCAAAGUUAAGCAAAACAAGCUAGAAAAUGAAGUGUGGGUAAAUCAUCGGGGACGGAACAAGAAAUCCCAGCACCAGGACAGUGAAAUGUAAGAGAAGGAAGUAAAUGUAGCUGCAGAAAAGCAGCAUAGCAAAUCACGGCAGCAGAUUUUAUAUUCCAGAAGGAAACAGAUGAGAUACCAG
RNAcentral lists this long non-coding RNA (4212 nucleotides) under Gallus gallus (chicken). Lineage: Eukaryota; Metazoa; Chordata; Aves; Galliformes; Phasianidae. The record is from RNAcentral.